AGUGAACGCUGGCGGUAGGCCUAACACAUGCAAGUCGAACGGCAGCACAGUAAGAGGUUGCUCUUACGUGUGGCGAGUGGCGGACGGGUGAGGUAUACAUCGGAUACUACUUUUUCGGGGGGGAUAACGUAGGGAAACUUAUGCUAAUACCGCAUACGUCCUCCGGGUGAAAGCAGGGGAUCUUCGGACUUUGUGCGAGUGAAUGAGCCGAUGUCGGAUUAGCUAGUUGGCGGGGUAGAGGCGCACCAAGGCGACGAUCGGUAUCUGGUCUGAGCGCGAGGUCAGACACACUGGAACAGAGACACGGUCGCGACUCCGACGGGAAGCAGCGGUGGGGAAUCUUGCACGAUGGGCGAAAGGCGGAUACAGCCAUACCGCGUAGAUGAAGAAGGCCUUCGGGUUGUAAAGCCAUUUAGUUGUGAAAGAAAUACAGCAGGUUAAUCCCCCACUGUACUGACGGUACCCAAAGAAUAAGCACCGGCUAACUUCGUG
This 492-nucleotide ribosomal RNA is filed under the name uncultured bacterium. RNAcentral's name for it is "partial 16S ribosomal RNA". It matches the Rfam family "Bacterial small subunit ribosomal RNA", at positions 29 to 507 of the family's 1533-position model. The record is from RNAcentral.